Molecule: ribosomal RNA, 253 nt
Filed under: uncultured bacterium
Lineage: Bacteria
Description: partial 16S ribosomal RNA
Rfam family: Bacterial small subunit ribosomal RNA
Source: RNAcentral
UACGGAGGGUGCAAGCGUUGUCCGGAUUUAUUGGGUUUAAAGAGCUCGUAGGCGGCUUGUUGCGUCUGCUGUGAAAUCCCGGGGCUUAACCCCGGGCGUGCAGUGGAUACGGGCAGGCUGGAGGCAGGCAGGGGAGAAUGGAAUUCCCGGUGUAGCGGUGAAAUGCGCAGAUAUCGGGAGGAACACCGGUGGCGAAGGCGGUUCUCUGGGCCUGUUCUGACGCUGAGGAGCGAAAGCGUGGGGAGCGAACAGG